Molecule: ribosomal RNA, 173 nt
Filed under: uncultured Anaerolineaceae bacterium
Lineage: Bacteria; Bacillati; Chloroflexota; Anaerolineae; Anaerolineales; Anaerolineaceae
Description: partial 16S ribosomal RNA
Rfam family: Bacterial small subunit ribosomal RNA
Source: RNAcentral
ACUCCUACGGGAGGCAGCAGUAGGGAAUAUUGCACAAUGGGCGCAAGCCUGAUGCAGCAACGCCGCGUGAGGGACGAAGGCCUUCGGGUCGUAAACCUCUUUUCUGAGGGACGAGUAAGGACGGUACCUCAGGAAUAAGUCUCGGCUAACUACGUGCCAGCAGCCGCGGUAAU